This 174-nucleotide long non-coding RNA is filed under the name Parus major (Great Tit). Its description in RNAcentral is "lncRNA (ENSPMJG00000005610.1)". Lineage: Eukaryota; Metazoa; Chordata; Aves; Passeriformes; Paridae. The record is from RNAcentral.
AUGGAAAGAAUUGGCAUUUUGCUCACAUUAUCUGCUUUCAUAACCAUUCAUUUUCAAGUGAAGGCCAAGAGCUUUUCUAAAAAUGUCAUAAAUGGCAAAUCCAAGGAAAGGGGCAACUUUAGCAGAUAUUCAGCAAGAGCAUCAGCUGCAAUGAGAACACAGGCGGUUGCUUAA